AUUGAACGCUGGCGGCAGGCCUAACACAUGCAAGUCGAGCGGAGCGGCGGCAGGGUGAGUAAUGCCUAGGAAUCUGCCUGGUAGUGGGGGUUAACGUACGGAAACGGGCGCUAAUACCGCAUACUAUCAGAUGAGCCUAGGUGGGAUUAGCUAGUUGGUGGGGUAAAGGCCAAGCAAGGCGACGAUCCGUAACUAGUCUGAGAGGAUGAUCAGUCACACUGGAACUGAGACACGGUCCAGACUGCUACGGGAGGCAGCAGUGGGGAAUAUUGGACAAUGGGCGAAAGCCGUAUCCAGCCAUGCCGCUUGUGUGAAGAAGGGCUUCGGAUUGUAAAGCACUUUAAGUUGGGAGGCGUUACCAACAGAAUAAGCACCGGCUCACUUCAUGCCAGCAGCCGCGGUAAUUC
RNAcentral lists this ribosomal RNA (407 nucleotides) under uncultured bacterium. Its description in RNAcentral is "partial 16S ribosomal RNA". It matches the Rfam family "Bacterial small subunit ribosomal RNA", at positions 30 to 526 of the family's 1533-position model. The record is from RNAcentral.